UACGUAGGGUGCAAGCGUUGUCCGGAAUUAUUGGGCGUAAAGAGCGUGUAGGCGGCUUACCAAGUCGAUUGUGAAAGCCCUCGGCUCAACCGGGGAAGUGCAGUCGAAACUGGUAGGCUCGAGAACGGUAGAGGAAGGUGGAAUUCCUAGUGUAGAGGUGAAAUUCGUAGAUAUUAGGAGGAAUACCUGUGGCGAAGGCGGGUCUCUGGGCCGAUACUGACGCUGAGGAGCGAAAGCGUGGGGAGCGAACAGG
Molecule: ribosomal RNA, 253 nt
Filed under: uncultured bacterium
Lineage: Bacteria
Description: partial 16S ribosomal RNA
Rfam family: Bacterial small subunit ribosomal RNA
Source: RNAcentral